RNAcentral lists this ribosomal RNA (253 nucleotides) under uncultured bacterium. Its description in RNAcentral is "partial 16S ribosomal RNA". It matches the Rfam family "Bacterial small subunit ribosomal RNA", at positions 524 to 776 of the family's 1533-position model. The record is from RNAcentral.
UACAGAGGGGGCAAGCGUUAUUCGGAAUUAUUGGGCGUAAAGGGCGCGUAGGCGGCCUGACAAGUGGAAGGUGAAAUCCCUCGGCUUAACCGAGGAACUGCCCUCCAAACUGUUUGGCUUGAGACCGGGAGAGGUGAGUGGAAUUCCUGGUGUAGCGGUGAAAUGCGCAGAUAUCAGGAAGAACACCAAUGGCGAAAGCAGCUCUCUGGGACGGUACUGACGCUGAGACGCGAAAGCGUGGGGAGCGAACAGG